Molecule: ribosomal RNA, 289 nt
Filed under: uncultured bacterium
Lineage: Bacteria
Description: partial 16S ribosomal RNA
Rfam family: Bacterial small subunit ribosomal RNA
Source: RNAcentral
GAAAGCCUACGGGGCGCAGCAGUGGGGAAUAUUGCGCAAUGGGGGCAACCCUGACGCAGCAACGCCGCGUGAUUGAAGAAGGCUUUCGGGUUGUAAAGAUCUUUAAUCGGGGACGAAUUUUGACGGUACCCGAAGAAUAAGCUCCGGCUAACUACGUGCCAGCAGCCGCGGUAAUACGUAGGGAGCAAGCGUUAUCCGGAUUUACUGGGUGUAAAGGGCGUGUAGGCGGGCAUGCAAGCCAGAAGGGAAAUCUGGGGGCUUAACCCCCAAACUGCGUUUGGAACGGAGU